CCACUACAGUGUCAGGGUUAGACUGGUAGUAACCACUAGAGUGUCAGGUUAGGAGGUUUAGACUGGUAGUAACAACUACAGUGUCAGGUUAGACUGGUAGUAACCACUACAGUGUCAGGUUAGGAGGUUAGACUGGUAGUAACCACUACAGUGUCAGGGUUAGACUGGUAGUAACCACUACAGUGUCAGGUUAGGAGGUUUAGACUGGUAGUAACAACUACAGUGUCAGGUUAGACUGGUAGUAACCACUACAGUGUCAGGUUAGGAGGUUUAGACUGGUAGUAACCACUACAGUGUCAGGUUAGGAGGUUUA
Molecule: long non-coding RNA, 313 nt
Organism: Oncorhynchus tshawytscha (Chinook salmon)
Lineage: Eukaryota; Metazoa; Chordata; Actinopteri; Salmoniformes; Salmonidae
Source: Ensembl